Molecule: long non-coding RNA, 1520 nt
Filed under: Equus asinus (donkey)
Lineage: Eukaryota; Metazoa; Chordata; Mammalia; Perissodactyla; Equidae
Description: lncRNA (ENSEASG00005025982.1)
Source: RNAcentral
AGCCAAGACGGGGAACCAAUACCAGGCACUCCUGUUAGGUGCCUGCCGACAGAGAACAAAGCUUGUGAAUAAAUCUGACAUCAUGCCUAUCUCCACAGAAUUUAAGAUUUAAUGAGAAAGGGAGGCAAAGAAGAUGUUAGAAGCAAACACAUUAUGACCAACUGUGACAAGUGCGAUGAUGGAAACUAAAAGAAUGAGCCAUCCAGGGCUGAACUGGCAGCUCCUCAGCUCUCCUCUCCACUGUCGCUAGAGUGCAGCUCCCUCCUCAGGAUGAUCUCGUGAUUGCAACACGACUGAAGCAGCCCUGGGUGGGUCUUCAGCGUGUCUUCACUCCAGGCAGGAAGAUUAGCCCUGAGCUAACAUCCACUGCCAAUCCUCCUCUUUUUGCUGAGGAAGACUGGCCCUGAGCUAACAUCCAUGCCCAUCUUCCUCUACUUUAUAUGUGGGAUGCCUACCACAGCAGGGCUUGCCAAGUAGUGCCAUGUCCAACCCGGGAUCCAAACCUGCAAACCCCUGGCCACCAAAGCGGAACGUUUUCACUUAACUGCUUCGCCACCUGGCCGGCCCUGUCAUGUGCUCUUGAGAGCGGUUGAUGAGUCUUGCUCUGCACCACGGUGGAUUGAAGUGAGACGUUAAGACCUUCCGAAAUGAACUCUUUACUGAGACAAUGAAUUUGCUGUAAAUUUUUCAGAGGAGACAUACAGCAUUUUGGAAAGCUUGGAAUCAAUUACACUAAAGGUGACAGUUACAUCAUCCUGAAAGAACAGGAAAAGCUGCUAUGAUGAGAAACUCUGCAGCAAAGGGACCCAACCUUUGCAAGUUUACAAGUCGUUGGAUUUCAAAUGGCAUGAAAGGAAGCCCUUUGGGCCGGAAGUUGACAUGUCAUUCUGUAGCCCUUAGCCUGACCUUCUCCAAACAUCAGGUCCCACACAAAGACACUCUGCUUCAAAUGACUUUUUUACCUCCAGGCUGGUAACCCUAUCGUCUUCCUGAAUGACACCUCCGCCACAUCCACUCUUGUCAGGAAGGAAGCCUUUUCAUUCCUUGAAGCUCAAAGCCAGUAAUGUUCUUCACAGUGACCUUGAGGGGUGGCUCACCCCCUAGUCCUUGCCAACUACAGAUUAAUUUCUAUUGUUUAGCCCAGAGGAACCUGUCAGGGAACUGUGGAUCCACGUAAGCUCUCUGAUGGGCUAAAGUCAGUUUAAAUUUAUUUGCAGAUGAACUUAUUUGUGAAGGAUAUUUUGAUGGGAAUUAUAGGCUAUUUAAAACUCUCUCUGUUAGAAAAAUAGUGCGAAAUUUCAGUAGAGAUGAAUAUAUUUGCCUCCACGGAAGGACUGCAAAAUUAUUAAAUGAAAAAAAAUGGAGGUUAAACUGUUCUAUUUUGUUAACUAAACCAAGAGAAACACAGCCAAAGACUAGAUUUGAAGGCUGGCCUCAAAUAGUUUCCUGUAAUGAAAAUUGGGAUGAGAGAAACAAUCCAAACUCAAAGAGAACCAACCUUGAUUUAAAUAAAGCUGUUG